RNAcentral lists this transfer RNA (85 nucleotides) under Fibrobacter sp. RNAcentral describes it as "tRNA-Ser". It matches the Rfam family "tRNA". Rfam says of the family: Transfer RNA (tRNA) molecules are approximately 80 nucleotides in length. Their secondary structure includes four short double-helical elements and three loops (D, anti-codon, and T loops). The record is from RNAcentral. RNAcentral also lists the same sequence under 5 other names. Lineage: Bacteria; Pseudomonadati; Fibrobacterota; Fibrobacteria; Fibrobacterales; Fibrobacteraceae.
GGAGGGAUGGCCGAGUGGUUGAAGGCGCACGCUUGGAAAGCGUGUUUACUUUACGGUAACGAGGGUUCGAAUCCCUCUCCCUCUU